RNAcentral lists this ribosomal RNA (1483 nucleotides) under metagenome. RNAcentral's name for it is "bacterial LSU rRNA". It matches the Rfam family "Bacterial large subunit ribosomal RNA", at positions 1447 to 2925 of the family's 2925-position model. The record is from RNAcentral.
UAUACAAUGCGAUGUGGGGACGGAGAAGGUUAGGUCAGCCGGGUGUUGGAUGUCCCGGUUCAAGCGUGUAGGCAGAUUCUUUAGGCAAAUCCGGAGAAUCAAUGCCGAGGCGUGAUAACGAGCGUACUUGUACGUGAAGUGAUUGAUACCAUGCUUCCAAGAAAAGCCACUAAGCUUCAGUUGUAUAAGACCGUACCGCAAACCGACACAGGUGGGUAGGAUGAGAAUUCUAAGGCGCUUGAGAGAACCCGGGAGAAGGAACUCGGCAAAUUAGCACCGUAACUUCGGGAGAAGGUGCGCCCCGGUAACGUGUAGAGACUUGCUCUUGAAGCGUGAUGGGGUUGCAGUGAAAAGGUGGCUGCGACUGUUUAAUAAAAACACAGCACUCUGCAAACACGAAAGUGGACGUAUAGGGUGUGACGCCUGCCCGGUGCUGGAAGAUUAAAUGAUGGGGUGCAAGCUCUUGAUUGAAGUCCCAGUAAACGGCGGCCGUAACAAUAACGGUCCUAAGGUAGCGAAAUUCCUUGUCGGGUAAGUUCCGACCCGCACGAAUGGCGUAACGAUGGCCACACUGUCUCCUCUCGGGACUCAGCGAAGUUGAAAUGUUUGUGAAGAUGCAAUCUACCCGCGGCUAGACGGAAAGACCCCAUGAACCUUUACUGUAGCUUUACAUUGGACUUUGACAAGAUUUGUGUAGGAUAGGUGGGAGACGUUGAAGCGGAGUCGCUAGAUUUCGUGGAGUCAACCUUGAAAUACCACCCUGAUGUUGUUGAGGUUCUAACCUAGGUCCAUAAUCUGGACUGGGGACCGUGUAUGGUGGGCAGUUUGACUGGGGCGGUCUCCUCCCAAAGAGUAACGGAGGAGUGCGAAGGUAACCUAGGUACGGUCGGAAAUCGUACUGAUAGUGCAAUGGCAUAAGGUUGCUUGACUGCGAGACGGACAGGUCGAGCAGGUGCGAAAGCAGGUCAUAGUGAUCCGGUGGUUCUGUAUGGAAGGGCCAUCGCUCAACGGAUAAAAGGUACUCUGGGGAUAACAGGCUGAUUCCUCCCAAGAGUUCAUAUCGACGGGGGAGUUUGGCACCUCGAUGUCGGCUCAUCACAUCCUGGGGCUGUAGCCGGUCCCAAGGGUAUGGCUGUUCGCCAUUUAAAGUGGUACGUGAGCUGGGUUUAAAACGUCGUGAGACAGUUUGGUCCCUAUCUGCCGUGGGCGCUGGAAAUUUGAAGGGACCUGCUCCUAGUACGAGAGGACCGGAGUGGACGCACCGCUGGUGGACCAGUUAUCAUGCCAAUGGUAUAGCUGGGUAGCUAAGUGCGGAAGAGAUAAACGCUGAAAGCAUCUAAGCGUGAAACUCGCCUUAAGAUGAGAUUUCCCGGGGGUUUAACCCCCCUAAAGAGUCGUUCGAGACCAGGACGUUGAUAGGACGGAUGUGGAAGUGCAGUAAUGCAUUAAGCUGACCGUUACUAAUUGCUCGUGAGGCUUGAUU